RNAcentral lists this long non-coding RNA (395 nucleotides) under Homo sapiens (human). RNAcentral's name for it is "HSALNT0361999". The record is from RNAcentral. Lineage: Eukaryota; Metazoa; Chordata; Mammalia; Primates; Hominidae.
GUAGGUUAUAGUUGAAAGAGCCACAGGAAACUCUGUGUCCUUGCUUCCCUUUCACGCGUAUGGACUCAUAUUCCAUGAUUGAAAGGUUAUCUUCUGGAAGCCUACUGUUUUACCUUUCAGAGUUUGGUCUACAACACACCUAAACUGAUGUUUGUGUAUGGUAUGAGGGGCUGCUACUAAGAGAAAGCAUGCUCUCAGAUAACCGUUUUCAGAUAACGUCGAGAAAGUGAGAGUAUACACAGAUCAACAUGAUGGUCCACUUAACGGGGGAAGAGAGUAAAAUGUUGGUGUCACUGACAAGGAUGGCAACAUUUAAAUGUUCAGAUCCUUACAGGAGAAGCAUUGCAGUCACUUGACAAUCUCAAGCUAUGUGUUUCUUCAGUGCUUCUUGAAAA